AAAAAGGGGCAAUGCCCAGAUUCGAACACAGGGUCUACACGCUCAACAAACAAACAACAAACCACUCCGCCAAUGACUUAAUGUUGCUCAAACUAUGUUUUUUUUAAAUAAAAUCAAGAGACAAUUUCGGUUUCUUUUUUUUUCCUUUUUGCGGCCAACCAUUCACAGCUAAGAAACAGUUUAAGUUUCCUUUUCUUCUUCGCUAAACUGCCGGAAUAACAGCCAUCCCGCGUUUCCCUUUUCUUUCGAUCAAUCAUUACCAAAAAGCCCGACCCUUUCCUUUAUUCGAUCCAAUCACCGACACCUUCCAUUCACACUACAAAUCAACAAUCGGUUACCAUAUUAUCAAGACCCAUCGAAACUCUAUAAAUACCGAGCCUUCCCUUUCGAUCACCUCACCUCUCGACACCCUCAUUCGACAACCCGACACCCCGCAUCUCCACACAUUCUGCUCGACAACACCAUGUUCGCCGGAGAAGACUAGUCGUCACCGGAGUUCACCGGAGAAACCCCGAAGCCCUCGGAGUAAACCGUUUCGCCGGAAUUGUUACGUCGGACCUCCGUUCUUCUUCGUUUCGGUUAAUCUCUCUUGUACGUUCUCUUGGAUUAUUCUCCAUCUUUACUCGUGCGUUAAUACAAGAAGCGCAACGCAAUCAAUGUUGAUGUUCAAGAAAUAAAGAAAUCAGGCUAGGAUGGAACUAGAAACCCAUUUUAGCAUAGCAUUUUAUUAUGUUUGAAUUUAUGAUGUACUUGAAAACAAUGUAUUCUCAUUUGAAAUUUAUGAAAUGAAUUUAAUUCA
Helianthus annuus (common sunflower) is the source of this 799-nucleotide long non-coding RNA. RefSeq lists it as uncharacterized. The record is from RefSeq and is a predicted model, not a curated record. NCBI's taxonomy places the organism in Eukaryota, Viridiplantae, Streptophyta, Magnoliopsida, Asterales, Asteraceae. The transcript has 3 exons.